GUAACUUUUCAUGCAUGCCAACGUAACUUUCGACAAAAAACACUCUGGCAGCACUGGUUUCAAAUGACAUUUAACAAGAUUACUGAGAUUCUGAGAUUGACAUCGUAAAUAUUUUUUAAAUACUUGAAAGUAUUCUCUGCUAUCGUUGUUCUGUGGCUAUCGUACGCAAGUAUGGCGGCGCCUAAAUACAGGUGUUGUGUGCUAUACUACUAUACUGUGAUGCAACAAGCUCCAAUUAUAGACUAUUUUGCAUGCCCUCAAAUGUUCAUUUAAGGAAUCUAUGGCUGUCGCUAUUGGUUCCGACCAGCCCUAAUUUACUAGGACUAACCGAGAACCAAUUGUUUUAAAAAAAUGUGUCUGUGAAAGACAUUUUGACGAGACUCAAUUCGAUAAAGCUGGUGUUAAAAUACGCUAUUCAUAUCCAUGUCUAUUCACGGAAAUGGAAAUUGCUCUAGGCAUACCUCUUGCUAGGGGUGGAUGACCAUAGUUACUGUCAGGGCUAUGAACAUGAAUCUGAUAAUUCAAUUGGUAAACCAGUUACCAUGACAGGUAUGUAAUAUUAAGAAUCACUAAUUUUUUUGUUCCUAUAUUUAGUACUAGUUAGCUACACUAUUACUGCUUUGCAGCCGAGUCUGCAACCUUGGAAGUACUCACUUAGCACUGUUGUGAUAGCACAUUUUGUGAAGUUGGCACAACCAAAGGUUGUUUCUAGUUUGUUUGUACCACCUGUAACGUAUAUUUUUAUUCUUCGUUCAUUCUCUUAACAAUUAUUUUGUUUCAUCGAAAUAUUAUUCUUCAUUGCUAGGCAUUUCUCUAUUAGCAUAUUUCGUGUGACGUAGGGCUGCGUAAGCAACUAUUGGUGGGGUUCGCGGUGUAGAUUAGGCUCUGCACUAUAUAAGCGCUGGUGCUUCCUUCCUUUUCCUUUGUCUUCAGCCUUGGUUAGGUUCACGGUGCGAUUUUGUUGGGGUCCUUGGCAUAGCGGAUACGUGUGGUACCGUUGUUGCCGGUGAUACCACGUGACACGAUUUUGUGGGUUGUCUGCUAGGACCCCAACAUCUACGAUAAAGAACUCCUCAACCUCUUCGGAUCAGUAUCGGGAUUCUUUCUUCUGGCCGAGCAAAAUUUUUUUAACCUCAGCUGACCUCGUGAUGGAGAUGGAGUCCUGGAAGUUGGACUACUGAACUCGAGAGACUGGCGGGUGAUCAUCCAGGGAGUUUCUGCCAAGCUAUGAGUCAUGGAGACCGCUAUGAUAAGUGACCACAGUUAACCUCCACCCACGUGUCAGAAAUAAUUCGAACCCACAGUGUAGUUUAAAUGAAUAUAUAGAAUGAAAUUAUGAAUAAAAUCUAGAAUUUAUUGAAGUACGGGGUAAAUUAUUGAAAUGGAUAGAAAGCUUUUUAAGACAAAGAACAUUUCGGGUGAAAAUUGGCAACUCAUUUUCUGAUGAAAAAGAAAUAUUGAGCAGCGUGCCCUAAGGUUCUGUGCUUAGUCCGGUCCUAUUUAUUAUUUAUAAGUUUGACUUUCCUAAGUGUUUGACAUGCAAUGUGAGCAUGAUUUGCUGAGGAUACAAAGAUUUUUGCAAAUCCCCUUAAAGCAUCUGAGCGUCUUCAGUCUCACUUAUCGCAAAUAACAAACUGGUCAAAUGAGUGGCUUCUUAAACUGAAUGUGGACCAGUGUAGUGUAUUACAUAUAGGUACUCGAAAUCCUCACCAGCCUUAUGAAAUAGAAGGAAUACUUUUAAAAAAAGUCAGCAAUCAAGUCGACUUGGGUAUACAUAUCACUGAAAACCUUAAAAGGGAGCACCACAUCGCAGCUAUAACUAAAAAGGCAAAUAGCUUCGUCUACAUCAUAAGGAAAGCUUUUGGACAUCUUACACCAUGCAUAGAUAUUCACUUCCAUCAACCAGCUAGAUUGAGGUUUGAUAUUCAGAAGCUAUAUCAAAACCUCAGAAAAUAGAAGUAUCCUCCAGUAUCGUUUCUGAGAUGAUAAACACGAAGAUUCUGAGACUCGAAUGAGCGCAGAGAUCACAAACAUUUUCAUUGUGACAGUCAUUUUACUGAUGAGGACACAGAGGAGCGGUUAUGAUCUAUGCAACGAAAUGAAAUGGAUCUAAAUUUUACUCAAUGUGCUUUACAACAUGAGAUAGUAAAUUUUUGUUUGUCCUUUCUCCGUUUUAUUUAUCUCUAUGGAAUGCGCGCAUAACACUCUUCAUUUACAAACCCCUGAUACUAGUGUUAUUUUGUGUUAUUGGGAUCACUGCCUCGGCUGCUGCACUCGUACAUCUCACCACGAGCUUUGCUUCUGUUCAGGGAACGUCCGAUAAUAUCCCGUGAAAUCUACGCUCGAAUCCAGGAUUGGUGGCAAUUCUUGUAUUGUUUGUAUAAAAAAUUGCAAAUUUCCAGAAAUAAAAUUGUACAUAUCACUAUCAGUACGACGCUUAUUGUCGAUAAAUGACAUUUUAAGAUCUCGUUGUUCGCGGAAAUCACACCUCCAGCAGAAUUAUGAGUGAUGAACACAUCUUCUUUUUCAACCUUAGAUUGGCACAUUCUCAAAAAAAAAAUGCUGAAAAAAAAUUAACACAAUAACUGCUCACAACUAAAGUCCAAAGUUCAAUAACACAAAGUUUCUUUUUCACACACGCGACACACGGCAUAGACAGGUCCUGGCAGGGUCGCCAUAUAAAGGUUGUAAUGGGAGAUGGAAAUCAAACCAUGUCGAAUGCUCUAGUAAGACUAUUAAUAUGUAACUCACGUAAUUUAUACUUACAUUUAGGAUAUAUGUAUAUACGCUAAUAUAAUAUAAUACGCUACAACAUGCUUAUACACUACAAAAUUAUCAAAUAAUA
This 2845-nucleotide unclassified non-coding RNA is filed under the name Melitaea cinxia (Glanville fritillary). RNAcentral's name for it is "misc RNA ENSMCXG00005012750.1". Lineage: Eukaryota; Metazoa; Arthropoda; Insecta; Lepidoptera; Nymphalidae. The record is from RNAcentral.